GCUCAGUGACAGAGGCGGGGCCCGAAAAGACCUGAACCAGAGGGUGGGUAGGAGGUGCUUCUGAAGUGGUCGGAGCUAAGUAGGCUUCUGCGGAUCAUCCGAUUCCGGAGCAACAUUUACCUGUUAUUCCUGAGUAAAUUGAGGAUCCAAGUAAGGUCGUGGUCCCUGCGAAAAGCGUCACCGUUACCUCCUGCUUCUCACGACUUCCGGGAUCCUGGUUUUCCUUCCAACAUUUUCAAUAUAUCAUGCCCAUCCUCUUCCGGCCUGCAAAGUUUCUGCUGCAAUCAGCUCAUGGCCUUAUGGGAGUUCCUUUGCAUCAGCACUUAAGGAUUCUUCUAGAACAAUGGGAUGAAGACAGAGCAGCAGGAGAACUAGUAAUACUGGUGGCGAUUAUGGAAAUAAUGCAUUAGAGGAUCCCAGCAGGAGAAAGGGACCAGAUGGUUGACCAACAUGGAGCUUAUUACCAACAUAACACAGUUCUGGUGUGCUGGCCAUGUACAAAGGGAAAUAAACAGGAGGAAUGUCAAAUGUGUCACGAGAUCUGCUAAAAUGGAGAACUCCUUGGAAAGGGCGAGAGAGCAGCAGGAAUGGCUUAAAGUAUACUGUUUCCAAAGUAGCAUGUAUGGUGUUGUACCAUCUUGACAACAAAAACAAGAAACUAAAACCAACCAAACCCCCCACCAUGUGUAUGUAAGUGACAAAAAGGAGAUGCAACAUCAUACUGAGUCAUCAGUAGUUCUCUCUGUGAAGGGGAGUGGUAAAUGCCUUCUCUUCUUUGAGGGUGUUUUGUUUUGUUUUGGUUUGGGUGUAUAUCUACAGAGAACAUGCAUUUCUUCUGCAAUUAAAACUUACUGGUCAUUGUUGAAACUUGAGGUUUUCUAUGCUAUUCUUUUUUUUUUUCUUGUUCAUGUUUAAAAUUUUCACUCUCAAGAGUGUGGAGAUACUUUGAGAAAAUAAAAACAGCUUGAAACACAGACUAAUCCUAAAAAUGGCUGCUGCAGCUUAUUGGGAAUAAAUGUGGAUGCCAAUGAAAAUCAUCAAUAAACAAUCUAUAAUAGGAGUUCCCUUCUUGGCUCAGUGGAGACAAAGCCGACUAUUGGCUAUCCAGGAUGACGUGGGUACAAUCCUUGGCCCUGCUCUGUGGGUUAAGGAUCCGGCAUUGCUGUGAGCUCUAGUGUAGGUCACAGAUGCAGCUCGGAUCCCUUAUUGUUGUGGCUGUGGUGUAGGCCAGCAGCUACAGCUCCAAUUGGACCUCUAACCUGGGAACUUCCGUAAGCCAUGGCUAUGGUGCUAAAAAGACAAAGAAUUUUUUUAAAAAGUAACAGUCUAUAAUAGGAAUAGAAGAGGAUUUUAUUUGAGCCAAACUAAGGGCUAUAGCCCAGAAGACAGCUUCUUGGAUUACUCUGAGAAUCUUCUCUGGAGAAGCAGGGUUUUCAGCACAAUUUUAUGUGUGGUCAGAACAAAGAACAUCAAGCAAGUCAGGGAUACAUUCUUCCAAGGUUUCAAAGAAACAGACCAGCACCUGCAUGGCAAGUCAGCAUCACCCCUGCACCUGGAAGGGGAGUCUUAUCAUCCAUAGUGUACCAGAGCUGGCCCAGGAAGAGAGGUAUUUAAUCUUUUUUUUUCUUUUUUUUUUUUAACAUGGACAUUCUUUGCUUCUGGUCAGUGCACCCUUUUCUUUAAUAAUUAAAGCAUGGAGAACAGACUUGUGGUUGCCAAGAGGGAGGGAGUGGGAAUUUGGGGGUUGGUAGAUGCAAACUAUUGCAUUCGGAGUGCAUAGGUAAUGAGAUCCUGCUGUAUAUCUAGUCACUCGUGAUGGAACAUGAUGGAGGAUAAUGUGAGAAAAAGAAUGUUAUGUAUAUAUGAAAGAACAACAAAUAAGAAAAAUAGUGCUACAAAACUGAAUGGCCUUAGAUAUAUUCACUGCAGCUAAAGGAGGUAUCUGUGCUAUUAUAAAAUCUGAAUGUUGUGUCUAUAUUCCUGAUUAUUCACAGAAUGUGCCUGAUUCCCUGUGAAAUCUCUGACAGCAGAUUCAUAAGAUGUCUGAUCCAGCUCCAGCUUUUGCAGCUGCCCUCUGGAACUGGUUGACCUCCUCCUUCACCUUAGUCAUCAUUGUGAUCUUGAUCUUUUUAUUUGGACCCUGUAUAAUUAAUUGUAUUUCUCGCUUCAUUACAUCCUGAUUAGCAACUAUCAACAUUCAAAUGGUGAUAGAAGCAGUACCCAAUGUAAUGUAUCAAAGCCCACUUGACCAUCCCAUGAGUGGAGACCUAACUUCUUUCCCCUAACAAUGUCUCUGUACAGCAGGAAGCAGUCAGAGUGGUGGUAGCUCCCUUUCCCCCUGAAGUUAGAGUCUCCAACUCUAGAAGAAGGGAUUGAGGCAGAAUAAUAACUCAGGUAGUUAGUGUAGGAGCAUAGGCUUUGAUGCAUUCGAUAUGGCUGUUGAUAAACAUUUGUGGCUUAAGGGCUCCAGGGAGUAACAUCCCCACAGGCCUUGUUUACUACAGGGAGUGCACCUAUGCCCAGAUGGACAUUAAUCCCUAUCUCCCUGUGAUUCAGUUUAUGAGAAGAAAAGGACAAAGAAACCAUGAGACUUAUGGGACAUUCCUGUCCCUGAGACCCCUUUUGGACAGGGACCCCUUUUAAGUAUUUGGGCAAGGCCAAUGGGAGAAAACCAUAUCUUUCUGGACCCCACGUUGGUACCCCCAUCUCUAAGGGAUAAAAACCCCUAUAAGACAAUAAAGAAGGGGGCUCUUCUCCCUCCUCCCAGCUGUUUUGGGAGCUGUUUUCUUUCCUGUAAUAAAGAUUUUGCUUGCUUGCAAAAAAAAAAAAAAAAAGUGUGUGUGUGUGUGUGUAUGUAUUAUAUAUAUUUUAUAUAUGGCUGGGUCACUUUGCUAUACAGCAGGAAUUGACAGAACAUUGUAAAUCAACUAUAAUUAAAGAAAUAAAAAUCUUUAAAAAAUCGUUAAAGCAGAGGUGCAAUGUAUGUGUGAUAGGUUACAAACAGGCUGUUCUAGUCAGUGGAAAUUCAAGUUAACUCAUGCAUAAGCCAGAAUGACGUCUCCACACCUCUAUGGGAGAAUUUCCUUUAUCAGUGGCCAAAAGUACCUCCUGGAAUAUGAUUCUGCAUAAGAGGCUCCCUUGAGCAAAGGCCACAUUGAGUUUCAGAAGCAAAGUCAUAAGAGGUGAGAGGUAUUUGGUAGAUUUCCCUCAGAAGAAGAUCUGGUGUGGAAGCAGCUCCUUCCAUAUCCUGUUCCUGGGGCCCAUCUAUCCUAACCCCUCUCCCCCAAAACCCCUGCCCACCCUCCCCACCUUCCUCCCCUUGCUGUGUUCCAUGGCAUAUAAAACCCACACAUUCUCCUGCUACAGGGUCUUUGCAUCUGUUCCCCCUCCUUGGAACUCUUGCUCAGAUCUUUUUGUUGUUGUUGUUUUGGGUCACACCUGUAGCAUGUGGAUGUUCCCAGGCUAGGGGGUUGAAUCGGAGAUGUAGCCGCCGGCCUAG
Molecule: non-coding RNA, 3499 nt
Organism: Sus scrofa (pig)
Lineage: Eukaryota; Metazoa; Chordata; Mammalia; Artiodactyla; Suidae
Source: RefSeq, a predicted model, not a curated record